UUUUUAAGAGCGAUGGUGAGAUUUUUUUAUAAUGCAUGCUCAUCUUGCCCUGACAUGUUCCUUACCUUUUUGAAACGUGGAUUCCCUGCCGGGUUUAGGGACUUUUUAUUAAAAACAAAACAAGGCUUUCCAAAUUAUUAAAGGCAGACACCCAAACUCAUAUUUUUUCCAAUCCUUCAAGCGUAUUCUUUAUAAAAAUGUUGCUAAUAUUAACAGUAUCACAUAGCGCAUUCCCCAGCCAGGCCAAUUGCUUUCCUAAGAUUUGCAAUGGAUUUGUGC
Molecule: long non-coding RNA, 279 nt
Filed under: Homo sapiens (human)
Lineage: Eukaryota; Metazoa; Chordata; Mammalia; Primates; Hominidae
Description: non-protein coding lnc-PRPF18-10:1
Source: RNAcentral